RNAcentral lists this long non-coding RNA (395 nucleotides) under Heterocephalus glaber (naked mole-rat). Its description in RNAcentral is "lncRNA (ENSHGLG00000046100.1)". Lineage: Eukaryota; Metazoa; Chordata; Mammalia; Rodentia; Bathyergidae. The record is from RNAcentral.
AGGAAGGGCUCUGAGACCAGCUCCCUGCUCCACUGCAUGGCAGAGGACGCCCGGGCCCCACGAGGGGAGGGGACAGACCUGAGGCCAGCUGGCAUACUGCUAUACCCUGGGAACAAGAAGAGUCAGACCCAGCUAGCCUGGAGCAACUCAAUGAAUCAACAGCAGCAGCCAUGGCUCCUCUUCCAGGGCAGCCCAGGGCAGGCACUGCCAGUCGAUCCCAGCACCCUUUCCCUCAGACCCCGGACUCAGCCUCAAAAUUCGUCUCCAGCCAGGGGAUUUAGCUCAGUGGUUUCACCGCCUGCCGCGCAAGCGCAAGGACCCGAGUUCGAUUCCCAGUACCAAAAAUAAAAUAAAAUAAAACAAAGAUUCAUCUCUUCCCAGAGCUUCAGGCAGCC